This 507-nucleotide long non-coding RNA is filed under the name Gossypium barbadense (sea-island cotton). Its description in RNAcentral is "long non-coding RNA (GBAR_LNC021172)". The record is from RNAcentral. Lineage: Eukaryota; Viridiplantae; Streptophyta; Magnoliopsida; Malvales; Malvaceae.
AGACAGGUGGUGCAGCUGGUGAAAAUCCUGAAGAAGCCAUCAGGUUCCUUGGUUUGAAACAACAGGUCCACUAAGACAAGGGCUCUAGAUACCAAUUGUUGGAGCUGAGAGCAACUAACAACAAGUUUCAGCCUAUUGCUUGAGCAGCAAGUGUCGUGACUUGCAGCAGAAACAAGCAGAAAACUAAAAAGAAUAAAGCAGGAAGAAUGGAGAGAGUUUUUGAAUGAAAACUUGAUUAAAUUCAUUCAUCAAAAAAAUGGCUUAAUGCCAAUACAUAAAUCAAGCUUCUAGCUUGUCAAGACAGUAGGUUAACCAAAACUAUACCUACUACCACUAAGUUUCCUAGUAAAUUGGAAUGAUAACUUGUGCAAAUGAAUAAAGCUGGUAAACAGCUCAAUCACCAUCAAGUUUACAUCAAAUAUCAUCUUAUCAUAGUUCAAAAUGAACUAGGUUACAUUACAUAAACAAAAAAAAAAUUCAAAUGAAACUAAACAUCCUUGCUUUCUC